RNAcentral lists this long non-coding RNA (875 nucleotides) under Homo sapiens (human). RNAcentral describes it as "HSALNT0372257". Lineage: Eukaryota; Metazoa; Chordata; Mammalia; Primates; Hominidae. The record is from RNAcentral.
CACAGAAGUGAGAGGAAGUGAUUUGUUCCAUGUCGGAGUCAAGCUUCUUAGAAAUGGACGUGCUUCUUCCGGGAUCUCUUUCUCCUUCCACCAGCUAAAUGCAGAUAGCAACAACCACACAGUGGGGACACAGAGAAGUGAAGCCUGGGGCCCUGAAUGAUCACAUGGAAGAGACUCACCCUUCUGGUUUCAAUAUUUGACUUAUAGGGAAAAAAAAAAUCACCAUUUUGCUUUCUCCACUCUUGACUGUGAAGUUUAAUAUAAGGUAUGGCUCAGUCUUUGUGAUGAUUCAUAACCUGGCUCUAACCAACAAACCAUUGGACCAUCCUGCGCCUCAUCUCUCUCCCCUACAGAGUCUCUCCUUACCUGUCUGGCUUUUGGGUUCCUUACACGUGGUCUCCCCAGAAAGCACUGAGGACUCUGAUUCAUCAUGUCAAGCGGUCAAUUAGAAUCCGGGAAAGCCUCUCUCUGGCCUCACCUUACUUCCUGUACCAGGAGAGAUGCUCAUCAAUAGUGAGAAAGAGUUGAUGGGAUUAGAGUCUGGAAGUGACAACCUCUCCUGAACCUGAACUCAUUGAUUUCUUCGUUUUACAAAACAGUGUUCUUGAAAAAAAUAAACAAAAAAAGGAAAUAAUACAACUAAGAACUCCAAGGUCUAAAUUUUAACCAGCUGUAUCUCAUAACAACAGAAGCUGCAAUGGCCAACAUACGUCAUUUAUAAAACGCCAACUUAUGUGGAUGGGGAUUGGGAUUUAUUGGCCUAAUGCAAAGAGCAUAUAAAAAAUGAGUAGGGAAAAGACUACUGUUUGUGUAUAUAUGUAAUUAUUACAUAUAUUCUUAAAUGAUAUUUAAUAAAUAAUCAAAUGAUUAAAUAA